UUACUUACAAUUAGGCCCGAAGCACACC
RNAcentral lists this small RNA (28 nucleotides) under Bombyx mori (domestic silkworm). RNAcentral's name for it is "ovarian small RNA-9389". The record is from RNAcentral. Lineage: Eukaryota; Metazoa; Arthropoda; Insecta; Lepidoptera; Bombycidae.